Molecule: ribosomal RNA, 493 nt
Filed under: uncultured bacterium
Lineage: Bacteria
Description: partial 16S ribosomal RNA
Rfam family: Bacterial small subunit ribosomal RNA
Source: RNAcentral
GACGAACGCUGGCGGUGUGCUUAACACAUGCAAGUGGUGCGACGAACCAGAGCUUGCUCUGGGGCAAAGCCGCGAACGGGUGAGUAACACGUGGGUAAUCUACCCCGAUGACCGGGACAACCCGAGGAAACUCGGGCUAAUACCGGAUGUGGUGCGGAGACAUAAGUCUCUUCACUAAAGGUAGCUUCAGCUUCCGCAUUGGGAGGGGCCCGCGGCCCAUUAGCUUGUUGGUGGGGUCAAGGCCUACCAAGGCAACGAUGGGUAGCUGGUCUGAGAGGACGAUCAGCCACACUGGGACUGAGACACGGCCCAGACUCCUACGGGAGGCAGCAGUGGGGAAUCUUGCGCAAUGCGCGAAAGCGUGACGCAGCAACACCGCGUGAGGGAAGAAGGCCUUAGGGUUGUAAACCUCUUUCAGAUGGGACGAAGGUUCUCCGGUGAAUAGCCGAGAGGAUUGACGGUACCGUCAGAAGAAGCUCCGGCUAACUACGUG